RNAcentral lists this ribosomal RNA (440 nucleotides) under uncultured bacterium. RNAcentral's name for it is "bacterial SSU rRNA". It matches the Rfam family "Bacterial small subunit ribosomal RNA", at positions 338 to 795 of the family's 1533-position model. The record is from RNAcentral.
CCUACGGGGGGCAGCAGUGGGGAAUAUUGCACAAUGGGGGAAACCCUGAUGCAGCGACGCCGCGUGAGCGAUGAAGGCCUUCGGGUCGUAAAGCUCUGUCCUAAGGGAAGAAAAAUGACGGUACCUUAGGAGGAAGCCCUGGCUAACUACGUGCCAGCAGCCGCGGUAAUACGUAGGGGGCGAGGGUUAUCCGGAAUCACUGGGCGUAAAGGGUGCGUAGGCGGCCAAUUAAGCCAGGGGUGCAAGGCUACGGCUCAACCGUAGUAAGCCCUUGGAACUGAAUGGCUUGAGGACAGGAGAGGGGAGUGUAAUGCCUAGUGUAGCGGUGAAAUGCGUAGGUAUUAGGAGGAACACCAGUGGCGAAGGCGACUCUCUGGACUGUAACUGACGCUGAGGCGCGAAAGCGUGGGGGGCAAACAGGAUUAGAUACCCCUUUAGUC